Small nuclear RNA from Sorex araneus (European shrew), 107 nucleotides. The record is from RefSeq and is a predicted model, not a curated record. Lineage: Eukaryota; Metazoa; Chordata; Mammalia; Eulipotyphla; Soricidae.
AUGCUCACCUUGGCAACACAAAUGCUACAAUCAGAAUGAUACAGAGGAGAUUAGCAUGUUUUCUACAGAAGGGUGACAUGAAAGACUGUGACAUAUUCAAUAUUUUU